Molecule: ribosomal RNA, 402 nt
Filed under: uncultured bacterium
Lineage: Bacteria
Description: bacterial SSU rRNA
Rfam family: Bacterial small subunit ribosomal RNA
Source: RNAcentral
UCGGGAAUUUUGGGCAAUGGGCGAAAGCCUGACCCAGCAACGCCGCGUGAGGGAUGAAGUAUUUCGGUAUGUAAACCUCGAAAGAAUGGGUAGAAUAAAUGACGGUACCAUUUAUAAGCUCCGGCUAACUACGUGCCAGCAGCCGCGGUAAUACGUAGGGAGCAAGCGUUGUUCGGAUUUACUGGGCGUAAAGGGCGCGUAGGCGGCGCGGUAAGUCACUUGUGAAAUCUCUGAGCUUAACUCAGAACGGCCAAGUGAUACUGCUGUGCUAGAGUGCGGAAGAGGCAACCGGAAUUCUUGGUGUAGCGGUGAAAUGCGUAGAUAUCAAGAGGAACACCUGAGGCGAAGGCGGGUUGCUGGGCCGACACUGACGCUGAUGCGCGAAAGCCAGGGGAGCAAACG